This 253-nucleotide ribosomal RNA is filed under the name uncultured bacterium. Its description in RNAcentral is "partial 16S ribosomal RNA". It matches the Rfam family "Bacterial small subunit ribosomal RNA", at positions 524 to 776 of the family's 1533-position model. The record is from RNAcentral.
UACGUAGGCAGCGAGCGUUGUUCGGAAUUACUGGGCGUAAAGAGUGUGUAGGCGGUGCUCUAAGUUCGGUGUGAAAUCUCCCGGCUUAACUGGGAGGGUGCGCCGGAAACUGGAGUGCUCGAGCGUGGGAGAGGAAAGCGGAAUUCCUGGUGUAGCGGUGAAAUGCGUAGAUAUCGGGAGGAACACCUGUGGCGAAAGCGGCUCACUGGACCGCAACUGACGCUGAGGCGCGAAAGCUAGGGGAGCAAACAGG